This 229-nucleotide long non-coding RNA is filed under the name Elaeis guineensis (African oil palm). RNAcentral describes it as "long non-coding RNA (EGUI_LNC016370)". Lineage: Eukaryota; Viridiplantae; Streptophyta; Magnoliopsida; Arecales; Arecaceae. The record is from RNAcentral.
UCCAACUCCCAGAUCUUCCAUGGUCUCUGGGCGGCUACGUGGACUAGAAUCCAGCCACUUGUACUCUCUCCAGAAACAAGUAAUGCUUUCACCCCGCUUAGAAAUCAUCCCUGGGAUGCUCCUACCGUUACGGCGUCGCCUUACGAAAUCCCCACGCCAAGGCAGAUGUCAUUCCACGGUAGAUACCGGCCCCCCUUGUCCAUCCGUUACAUAAGUCGGCGUCGGCGUA